Molecule: long non-coding RNA, 7242 nt
Filed under: Cricetulus griseus (Chinese hamster)
Lineage: Eukaryota; Metazoa; Chordata; Mammalia; Rodentia; Cricetidae
Description: lncRNA (ENSCGRG00015040108.1)
Source: RNAcentral
AGAUCAGGAGUUCAAAACCAAACUAGGCUACAUGACAUUCUGUCUUAUUAUAAAAAAAAGAAAGAAAGAAAGAAAAAAGACCAAGGGACAGAGAAUGAUGGGGAGAAGUGUGCACAUGAGUGCCCCUGUGUGCACAAGUUUGUGUGUGUGUAUAUGUGGGGGUGGGGGGUCCUGGGGUAAUCAUGGUGGGACUCUGCUGAAAGAGACUGGAGCCAUGACCCUGCACACCCACUGCUCCUCGUUUUCCUUUUCUGUGAAGGUUUUCAUCGGGUGCUGCUUGCUUACAACAACCAGUAUCGUGUGUGUGCACCUGUCCUACUUGCUUGUUCCCUAUAUUAAAGGGGUCUAUCAUUUCUAGCUUUUUCUGUUUUUCCUUAUAAAUCAGAGGAGCAUUCUGGGAUGCGCUUUCAGACCUCAGCAGUUUUGCUGCCAUUGUGUCAAUUCUUUAAAGUUGCUCCUGAAUGUUUUCCUAAGUGGCAUGGAGCUUGGCUUGUGUUUCCACAAGCUCACCAAGGGCUGGUGAGUUAGGCUCUGCAUUCAGUUAUAUAAUGUCAGGCUUGUCCCCUGCCCCCUAUCUUGAUAUGUAUUAAUUCGUGUAGCAUAGUUAAUUCAGAUUGCAUGGUUCCCCAAGAGAGAUGCUGUCAGGUGAGGAUAUUUGUCCUGAAAUAAGUGAAAACUGUUGACAAGGUUCUUUGGCCACACUCCUACAUGUAUUUGCUAUCAGCUGCUAGCCUCAUAAAGUACAUACCCCCAGAACUGAGGAAAUUAUAUUGGUUUUAGGGUUCUUGAGAGAUGUUUAUUUAGCUGAAACUGUAAAUAUAUACAAGAAGCUGGAGGUCAUCAUUGAAAGCCACAGAUAAAACAGGAAUUGUGGGCUUUUGGAUUAAGAUGACAGCUACAGAAGUGGGAUAUGGUGGGGAAAGAGAAAAGAAAAGAUUAUGUAGUUGGUUGUACCAUUUUUACAUUAUUAGCUGCUCAUAUAUAAAUUGCUGAGAGUGCAGAACAAGUAGGAUUUUUUUUCUAUGUAAGUAAUAACAUUUAAAGAAAAAAUUAUGGGUAUAAAAGAAGUGUGUACCAUAGUGUACUUUUUAUGUUGAAGUCAAUAAAUACCAGUCUUGGCUGAGCAUGGUGGCACACUAAUCUCAUCACUUGGGACACAGAAGCUGUCAGAUCUUUGUGAUUUGUAGGCCAGCCUCAUCUACAGAGCAAAUUCCAGGCUACCGGGACUACACAGUGAGACCCAAUCUCAAGUCUUGAGUUCUGUUCCUGCACUGAUUGCUUCCUUGUAAUCGGAAAGAAUGAAAGCAGCAGCAGGGCUAGAGAAAAGGUUAAGAGCUGUGGAGUAUUUUCUGGGCUAGCCUGGGGCUGUUGUUCAUCCAAUUUCCUGAACCAUGUAAAACAAAGGAGAAAAUCAGGAAAUUGGCAGAAAAGCAUUUUAAGAAGCCAAAUUCCUCCUGUCAAAACUCCAAAAGCCUCUUUUCAGUUUAGGUGUUUACUUGUCAUGUUUACUCAUAGUUUAGAUUCAUUCCUGUAAAAAUUUCACAAUUAGUUUCCUAAUAUAUUGCAAAUGACAGAACAUAUUGGAGAAGCAAAAUUGUUUGGAGGCAAGCAAAAGGAUCGUGGUUGAAAAUCGAAAUUUGACAUCAUGAUGGCAAAAGAUGACAUUUUUUAAUUGAUCAGAUGUAACAGUUGUGGACAGUUGGUUGCAAAACAUUCGCUCUUUGCUGUUCUCCAUAUCUGGAAAACCAUCACUUGGAGUUAACAUCAUUUAGGACUCUGAAACUCCAUCACAAAAUCCCCUACACCUACCCCUCCAAGAUUAGGUGCUUCUUCUAACUUGGCAUCUCACAAAUUAGUGGUCAUCUAGUUAGACCCUGCUGUGUGGUCCAGGCUCCCCCCGCUGGCACAGUCAUCACCCCAGUCAUACUGGGAGACCUUGCUGAUCCCAGAUGUGCACAACAGCUGUUCACAGUUCCCUGCCUUUGCAUGUCACACUCCUCUUCACUAAAUCCCUCAUAUUACAAAGCACUGCUCCUGUUCAAGGCCCACUUUAAAGGCCAGGCUUUGAUGAGCCGCUCUUCCAGCUUUCCUGCACAGAAGCAUUCCCAUGUCUAUGCUGCAGUCAUUUUAUACUUUUAAUGUUUCCUUAUUCCUUAUUUCCAGGUAGGAAAUAAGGGUGAGAUUAGUAACAGUUGUAGGGGAGGGGAAAGUAUGCACACAGAAAUGCUUGUACUGAUGGCUAGAGACAGUUCUCGGUUGUUAUAUGUAAUAGAAUUUAGUCUUCAACUAAAAACAUAAAAAUUGUAUUAUUACUGGGAUAGCAUCUUUUAAAAAAAUAUACAGAAAUCCAAGAUCAAGUUUUCCAUUUCAAGUCAACUGAGUCAUGCUGGCUUUGGAUUGAGAAUGGCGUCACCACAGCAUGUUACUUUUUAUAACCUGUGUUCUUCAGUCUUAACCUCCCCUACAACUUUUACAGUGGGCAGCUUAGCAGAACAUCUAGAUUGACUUGAAUUUCAUGUUUUAUUACUUAUUUUUACUUUAACUGUGUGACAGUUCUCAUAUGUGCGCAGAUGUGAAAAGCUCAGAGGACAGCAUUUUCUGGGAGUCAGUCCUCAACUUCCCUCCUCGCUGAGGCAGUGUGGCCUGCGACUCUGUCCUCCUGUCCUGUUUCUCACCUUGUCUCUGGAAGCCUAGGAUUACUGAUGGACCACAGCAUCUGCUUUUUACAUGGGUGCUGGAUGUUGAACCCAGGUGAUCAGUCUCCAGCAGCAAACACUUUUACCAAUCGAAUCCUUCUCCUCAGUCCACAUUUCACAUUUUAUAAUUACCUGUGGCUUUCUUAUUUUAAUUUCUGUUGUUAAUGUAAUAAUGAUUCACUGGGCUAAUGCAUAGAAAGGAAACACUGCCCUUCCUUAAUUUGAAAAUUCUUUUCUGUUCUUUUCUGAGAACAGGCCAAUCGCUUUCCCUAUAAUUGCCUGCCUGACGUGUGACAGGCAAUCUGUGUAAACUAGAUUUUUGGUUUCAGUAUUGUCUCUUAAUUACAGACUUCUGAAAGAUACUUUAAACAGAAAUGAUGGAUUCAGAUUCCCAUGUAUUCAACAAUGACAGAAGGAUGGAAUUUCCUAUUUUGGAUUCUAAUAGUGCUGAGAAGCUGGAAAGAAUGACUGUUUGAGCCAGAGGGAGUGGAGCCAUAUCACAUAGUAAUAAUGACAUCUGCAAAAAAGCGUCUAGAAAUUGUACUAAAUGCCUGGUGAAAUCUUACUACAAAGAAUCUAAGCUUCCAAAAAGGUAAGAAAUUUGGGACUUCUAUACAUUUCAUAUUUAAACUAGAUACAAAACAGUCAGUAUGAUUUUAUUUAAAAAAAAAAAAAAGAGAGAGAAAGAGAAAGAGAACUCCGGGUUUAUCAUAGGAUCAGUAUGAUUCAGAAGCACCAUCACACCUUGUGUGUAUAGUGAUCUACAACCAUUUGAUGUUUAGAAAACAAUGAUUAGCUAAUCAUGGUAGUGCACGCCUGUAGUUCCAUCUCUUGGGAGGUAGAGGCGGGAGGAUCAGGAGUUUGAGGUCAGCCCAGGACACAUGAGAUCCUGUCUCAAGAUAAAUGAAUUAAUAGAAGUGAAACACUGUAUCUGUGUGAUGUGCUGUGUGUAUGGGGAAAGUAAUGGGUGGGUGUGAAGACAAUAAAAAAAAAAAAGAUCUCCCAAACUGUAUAUGAAAGACAGAAAUAAAUAAGUAUAAAUACUAAUACAGCAAACAAGUGGAUAGAGUAAGGAUGAAAAAGUCAUGCCAUGCUGAGCCUAGGCAGAAUGUGGGUUAGAGGGUUCCCCUCCCCAACUGCUAAUUGAGCAUCUGAUGUCUUUAAACUUACUCUCAGAAGCAUAAUGGUUAUUAGGUAGGGCCGAUAGCUCAGGCCAGAUGCAUAGCCUGGUAUCUUACAAUUCAUUUCCAGUGUUUGUAGGUGUGGUGGGCUCUGAGUCUAGACUGAGGUGAUGAUCAAAUGCUGGAAGACCCAGUUUCCCUAGAAUCAAAGAAAAACUAAAUUACACUUGAUGCUUAAUCUACUUUUAAAAUUGUUUCCCUGGAAACUGGGCUUUGUAAUCAUAGAAAACAAAGACCUCUUUGCCAAUGAAUAUUUUUUUUUGUAUUCAUGUCAGUACUAUAUUGUUUCUUCUGUUACUACACAAUGAAUAUUUUUUAUGUGCCCCAAAUAUUGCAUGGGACAUACAUGGACUAAAAAUUAUUUGUCCAUUAUUUGAAGUUUAGAUUUAAUGGCAAGUCUAAUACUUGGUUUCAUAGCCCUGUGUAGGACCUGACAAGACAGACAGUAAUAGUGAAUCUUUGGUCUGUAUUGGUAAAUAGGAGUCUGAAAUAUAGACUGUAUGUAAGUUUUAAGAAUGUACCAGUAUUCAAAGCCAAUUUUAAAGGCCACCUGUUUUUGUUAAUUAGAACCAACAAGGGAUAUUUUACAUUUAGGAACUAAAUUCAGUAAACUGAAGCAGUGUUUUGAGCCAUUAACAUAAACUCAGUAAUGAGUCUAUGUUGGGACCCUUUGGGGCAUCUUCAUUAUCAUUUCCUGGUAUACAAGAGACUGUAUACAAGAAGUGUGAGUGGACCUAUGUCCACUAAAUGGGGCACAGCUGUUUCUGUGCUUGGAGCUGUCAAGGAUUUAAAGAAUUUUGGGAGCAGGUAGAGGUAGAAAGGCCCUGAGAACCUGGGGCAGCCAUCUGCUUUGUAGAUGAGACCCAGUGGUGCUCCACUCUGUUCAGGGUCAUAAAGUGGGUGAGAACUCAGGUCAGUCCUAAGCAUUCACAGUAGUAUUCAUUCAAGGUGAUAUUUGAGUGUUAGCUUUAUGUUGCCACAACUAUAGCUUCAGGUAGUGUGCUGGAUACUGAGGAAGACAGUGGUUAGAGCAGCUUUGUCCUGUGUAUAUCGAAAUGUAUUGUGUCUCUGAUUAUCCUAAAUAGAUGGCAUAAAAUGAUUUAUUUAAAGUGUAUAGUCCUGAGCUACAAGUCUUACUUUUUAUCCUUGGAGCUUAUUCUCUUAUUCUACAGUUGUACAAAAAUUUCAUGCAAGUCUCCAGAUAUUUUAUAACUUACACACUUGUGCACCUUGUAGUCUUGAGCUGCUUUUUUAUUUGUAGUUGACUUAGUCACCCUCGGUAGUGAUUGUUAAUAUCAAGGAGACCUGAUUGGAUGUACAAAGGAAAAUGUUAUCAGGUUAUAUUGUUGCCUGAGAUAGCAAACAAACAAAAUCCUGACCUUAACUAAUGCCUCAUAUUUUCCUUGAUUUAAAUUUCUGCCAACAGCACAUGGGAUCUCUGGAUUAGUUAACAGAAUAGACCUGAUUUUCUUGUCAUGUGCAACAGUAUUCUUACACACUCUUUUACCUAUCUACCAUCCAUCUAUCUAGGAGCUAUUUGACUUAGCAUAGAAUAAAUCAAUAGGAAAGAUAGUAUCACAAGUACUGUAUGACUCCCCCUUUCUUAUUUUGGCCAUCUAAUGAAUUCUCAGCAGUGGUUCCCAAAUAUGCUUGGUUUGCUUUAACAUCAAACUGUAACUUGUAAGACCUGGCUAUUGGAAUUGUUGUGUAAGUAACAUUUGUUUCAUUCCCACACUGAACCUUAUUACUCUUAAAAUGUUAAUGAUUUUCUCUCAGCAAAUAAGAAACGAUGUUUGUUUGUUUGUUUUAGAGCUCCCAUUUUUGUGAUUAUUAAUGUCAGUUCUUUAUCACUUGUUGUUCAUUAAGAAAAAGAAUGGGGGGGCUACGAAGAUGGCACAGUGUUUAAAAUGCUUGCUGUGCCAGCAUGAGAACUGGAAUUAGGAUUCCAGAAACCUCUAUAAAUGCCAAGAGAACAGGGUAGCCACCUAUAAUUGUAGCCUCAGAAGACAAGAGAUGCCCCAGCAAACUGGCUUAUGAGUAAUAGUUAUAAUGUGAGUGACUCUGGGUUUGGUGGAGAUCUUUCCUCUAUAAAUGAAUGUUUAUUCAGUUAUAUCAUUACCUGAGAUAGUGAACAAACAAAACCUGAUCUUAACUAAUGCCUGUCUUCUCCUUGAAUUAGAUUUUCCACAUGCACUCAUACCUAUGUGCACCUGUUCACACAUGUAUGGAUGUAUACAUGUACAUACAUGUAAAUAUACUAAAAAAUAAAGGAUAAAAAACAACACUGAGCCAAAUUAUCACGUUUAUAAGACUACUUAGAAUGAGGUUUUAGUAAUUUUUAAGCACUUAAUAGGUUGGAAAGAUGGCUCUGGGAAUAGAUGUGCCUGCUGCCAAACCUGAUGACCUGAGUUCCAUCCGAAGGACCCAUAAAGCAAAAGGACCAAUGGCUGCACCUUAUCUCCGGACCGCCACAUACCUACUGUGGUAUGAAUGCUCCCCACACAAGUCCCUGAAAAAUGAGUACAAUGUAAUAAAACUUAAAACAACUUGGUUUUUAAGCUUGACUGUCUCUUCAAGUUGAAAUAAAUUAUCUAAUUAAAUAUUCAACCUAAGUUCUAAUUAAAGUUUUAUGUCAUUUUAAAAGAGCAUUUUGUGUUACUAUCUUUAUGGGAAAAUUAUUUUGUUGGAAUUUGAAUUAGAAAGGGACUGGGUGAUUAGCAUGUUCUUUUCUUUAACCUUAGUGCAUAAUAAAUUUAAAAACCCUAAUCAUUUGUUUUAAAUCAUUUGUAUUUGUGGAAAACACAAAUAUUCUCUAAAGGGUAUUAUAUUAAGUUAAUUUAGUAGAGGUCCGCCAGCUGUCUUUGCCUAGUGCAUGUAGCUCUCACACUUACUCAAAGCAGCUUCUCUACAAUAGGAGACCAUCACAGAAAUCUACACCUGGUCGGAAUGCAGACAACAACUCAUCAUGCAGUGUCCAGGCCCACUAGAUAUAUUACUUGGUUCCUACACCUAAAACUCAAGGAACCCAGUGACAGCACUAAUAGACACAGAAACACAGAAGGGAGAAAUCUCAAGGAGCCUACCCUUAGACAGUUACAGACUCAGGACUGCUGAGAGUGGGAGAAUUCAUACUAUAGAUAACGCCACUCAGGCACACACACAACUGGUUAUCCAGUGCCAAGUUGUGAGCUCUGAAGUCAUAUACUCAUAAGCAAUACUAAACAGACUAGGCAGGGUGUAUGUGUGUGUGUGUGUGUGUGUGUGUGUGUGUGUGUGUGUGUGUGUGUGUACAAUAAUCAAAGAAUAAGAAGCCAUGAAUUUCAGUGGGACUAACAGGGAAUGGGGAGGAUUAGAGAGAGAGGGCA